ACGACGGGUGAGCGACGGUUGGGUUUCGGUGUCGAAAUAGACACUUCCGGGAACCCGGAUCUGAACGAUUAUUCGACGAUAAUUGUUUGGAGGCGUGAUCUUGUGUUUGCUGACAGGACACACAAAUAAUGGUGUUUAGUGGCAGCGGGUGACUUGUAGUACGAGUUGGUGAGUUCCGGGACGGUUCGUGGGUCCCGGCGGAGUCCCGGUGCAAUUUUCGGGACUUCCGGCGAGUUACGAUAGUCAGUUUUGGGAAACCGAUCUCCGUGGGAUUAUUGGUGGGAAUUGUGAGUUAGUGGUUCGUGUUUGUGGUUUAGAUGCUAACCCGGUGGAU
This 334-nucleotide long non-coding RNA is filed under the name Ananas comosus (pineapple). Its description in RNAcentral is "long non-coding RNA (ACOM_LNC043754)". The record is from RNAcentral. Lineage: Eukaryota; Viridiplantae; Streptophyta; Magnoliopsida; Poales; Bromeliaceae.